GUCUAGAUAGAAAGAGGAUAUUAAUAAUUCAAACAGUUAAUCACACCAGAGCACAAUUUGUGAAUCGCUGCAAUCUGCAUCAAAGAGCACACUUCCAAACACGUUUUUUUCCGAAAUUGAAUUUGAUCUCGGUUCAACUACUUUCAAAUGUUUCUUUAAAGCAAACCACUGUUCAUUGUCACAUGGAAUUGAAUGUCAACUGCCUUUUGUGAAU
Molecule: unclassified non-coding RNA, 214 nt
Filed under: Hevea brasiliensis (rubber tree)
Lineage: Eukaryota; Viridiplantae; Streptophyta; Magnoliopsida; Malpighiales; Euphorbiaceae
Source: RNAcentral